Molecule: long non-coding RNA, 1452 nt
Filed under: Mytilus galloprovincialis (Mediterranean mussel)
Lineage: Eukaryota; Metazoa; Mollusca; Bivalvia; Mytilida; Mytilidae
Source: RNAcentral
AUAUUCCAAUGAUUUAACAGUUGUACGAGAUCUUGUCAUGAUUUUGUUAAGUUUUAGUGCUUUUCUACGUUUUAGUGAAUUGAGUCAAUUGAAAUGCAAUGAUGUCACAAUUAAAGAAGGUUAUUUGGUACUUAAAAUUAGGAAGAGUAAGACUGACCAGUAUAGAGCUGGAGAUGAGGUGUUGGUAUCUAAGGGGCAGUCUUUAGCUUGUCCUUAUUCUAUGUUUUUAAGAUAUCUUGGUUUGGCGAAUAUUGAAAUAUCCACAGACAUGUAUUUAUUUCGUCCUUUGUAUAGAUCUAAAGAUAAAUGUGGUUUGAUUAAGGUUAACAGGCCUAUAAGUUAUACUACUGCAAGAGAAUGUAUGAUAAAGCGUUUGAAAAUGGUCGCUCCAGAGCUUAACCUUGGUUUACAUUCUUUACGGUCAGGAGGUGCCACUUCGGCUGCUAAUGCAGGUGUUAAUGACAGGUGUUGGAAAAGACACGGAAGGUGGAAGAGUGAUUCAAGUAAGGAUGGUUAUGUAGCAGAUUCUGUUGCUAACCGAUUACAAGUUUCAGAGCAUUUGGGUUUAUAAAUUGUAUUGUGUUCAAAUUUUUUGCUGUUUAGCUGUCCUUUAUUUGAAGGUUUUUGUUUUGUACAUUACUGUGAUUAUUACCAAUUGGUCAGUUUUUUUCUUUAUACUCUAUCUUUGUUGUUCUAUAUACGCAGCGAGCUAGUCAACAAACUUAAGUUUGUAGUUGAGUUAUUUUUUUUAGAUGCUAAGGUACAUGAGUAUAGAGAAGACUAGAUAAUUCCCGCGGCACGCAGUAAAGCGUGAAUUUAUUGUCUUCUCGGUAAGGUAUUUCCGAGGCGUAUGAAUUUUUGGCGCCAAAAAUUGUAGUGGUAAAUAGAUAGUUAUAUGAGUAUCAUUUCUAGCCUUGCGUUCGUACUGUGUACAUCAAAUUUUUUCAUAUAAGCAUAAAGAAUGCUCAAUUUGACAAUUGUUAAUUGUUAAUGGUCUGUUAUAUAUAUUUUUUAUAUAUAUGGUAUGGCUAUAUAACCGUAAUCGGAUUUGGAUUAUAUGUUGUGUCUUAUAAAUUUUUUAUAGCCGUAGUCUUCGGACUAAAACUCCCUUUUAUUAAGUUAGAUUGAGCAUUUUUUGGUACAUGAACAUUUAUGUUAUAUGAGUGCGGUCCAACACUUGAGUUUCGCUUGGCAUUGACAAAAGGACGCAGGUUUCCAAAUUGGUUUUUCCUGAUCGGCCACGAAACAGUAUUUUGUGUGUUUUGAAUAUUGAUAAUUUGGAAGAUGAUGGCAAAUAGUAUUUUGUAUAUAUGUUAUGUUGUUAUAAUAUUGCUGUAUUGUAAUAAAAGCGGCAGCUCAGAAAAGAUAUACGCAGCGAGCUAGUCAACAAACUUAAGUUUGUAGUUGAGUUAUUUUUCUUAGAUGCUAAGGUACAUGAGUAUAGAGAAGACU